GAUGAACGCUGGCGGCGUGCCUAAUACAUGCAAGUCGAGCGAACGGACGAGAAGCUUGCUUCUCUGAUGUUAGCGGCGGACGGGUGAGUAACACGUGGAUAACCUACCUAUAAGACUGGGAUAACUUCGGGAAACCGUAGCUAAUACCGGAUAAUAUUUUGAACCGCAUGGUUCAAAAGUGAAAGACGGUCUUGCUGUCACUUAUAGAUGGAUCCGCGCUGCAUUAGCUAGUUGGUAAGGUAACGGCUUACCAAGGCAACGAUGCAUAGCCGACCUGAGAGGGUGAUCGGCCACACUGGAACGGAGACAGGGUCAAGACUCCUACGGGAGGCAGCAGUAGGGAAUCUUCCGCAAUGGGCGAAAGCCUGACGGAGCAACGCCGCGUGAGUGAUGAAGGUCUUCGGAUCGUAAAACUCUGUUAUUAGGGAAGAACAGAUGUGUAAGUAACUGUGCACAUCUUGACGGUACCUAAUCAGAAAGCCACGGCUAACUACGUG
Molecule: ribosomal RNA, 497 nt
Filed under: uncultured bacterium
Lineage: Bacteria
Description: partial 16S ribosomal RNA
Rfam family: Bacterial small subunit ribosomal RNA
Source: RNAcentral